GUAUUGCUGAAGAGUCCCAAAACUGGGACAAAACAGCUGUCCAGUAC
This 47-nucleotide non-coding RNA is filed under the name Trichobilharzia regenti. Lineage: Eukaryota; Metazoa; Platyhelminthes; Trematoda; Strigeidida; Schistosomatidae. The record is from RNAcentral.